UACGUAGGGUGCGAGCGUUAAUCGGAAUUACUGGGCGUAAAGCGUGCGCAGGCGGUUUUGUAAGCCAGAUGUGAAAUCCCCGGGCUCAACCUGGGAAUGGCAUUUGGGACUGCAAGGCUCGAGUGCGGCAGAGGAGACUGGAAUUCCGCGUGUAGCAGUGAAAUGCGUAGAUAUGCGGAGGAACACCGAUGGCGAAGGCAAUCCCCUGGGCCUGCACUGACGCUCAUGCACGAAAGCGUGGGGAGCAAACAGG
This 253-nucleotide ribosomal RNA is filed under the name uncultured bacterium. Its description in RNAcentral is "partial 16S ribosomal RNA". It matches the Rfam family "Bacterial small subunit ribosomal RNA", at positions 524 to 776 of the family's 1533-position model. The record is from RNAcentral.